Molecule: long non-coding RNA, 598 nt
Organism: Neocloeon triangulifer
Lineage: Eukaryota; Metazoa; Arthropoda; Insecta; Ephemeroptera; Baetidae
Exons: 3
Source: RefSeq, a predicted model, not a curated record
AUCUGCCCGCCAAAUUCGCUGUUUGCCGGAAUUAGCCGCUUUAAAGAAUCGUUUCUUGAGAAUCAUUUCUAGAAACGUUUCUCGAGAAACGUUUCUCGAGAAACGUUUCUCGAGAAUCUUUUCUCGAGAAACGUUUCUCAAGAAUCGUUUCUAGAAUCGUUUCUCUGAUAUUUGGACCCACCCCAUGUCUCAUCUGCAUUUCAUAGUAAUAAAGUUUUUGAUAACCAAGUUAUCACAAAACAAACUGGUUCCUGGUUGAGGACAUUGCUAAACCGGUGGAGGUGGAGGCGCUGCGCGACGGCUUCGAGGCACUCUUCCAGACCACAAAUUAUGACAAGAUUUCAGGAUUUCAGUCUCCUUCAGAAUAUGAAAAAGAAUCCUCAAUUGUCAACCCAACCCAAGGAACUAAUCUGAUUUUUUAAACCCAAAGAGGAAGUUGCAGCCUUAAUUUUAUGGAAAUUAUCUGGUGCACUUGGUCAUCGAAACUUACUGAAAAUAUUUUGGCCUAUUCACUAAUUAAAUUGUAUGUUUUUGUGUAUUGAAAUAAAAAUUUGGUAAUAUGUUAUAUUUAAAAUUCAAAUUAUUUUUUCAAAUUCAG